Molecule: ribosomal RNA, 274 nt
Filed under: uncultured bacterium
Lineage: Bacteria
Description: partial 16S ribosomal RNA
Rfam family: Bacterial small subunit ribosomal RNA
Source: RNAcentral
ACACGGAGGGCGCAAGCGUUGCUCGGAAUCACUGGGCGUAAAGCGGGUGUAGGCGGUCUAGCAAGUCAGAUGUGAAAGCCCACGGCUCAACCGUGGAAGUGCAUCUGAAACUGCUAGACUUGAGUGCCGGAGAGGGAAGUGGAAUUCCUGGUGUAGGGGUGAAAUCCGUAGAUAUCAGGAGGAACACCGGUGGCGAAGGCGACUUCCUGGACGGCAACUGACGCUGAGACCCGAAAGCGUGGGGAGCAAACAGGAUUAGAAACCCUUGUAGUCC